Molecule: ribosomal RNA, 452 nt
Filed under: Salmonella enterica subsp. enterica serovar Enteritidis
Lineage: Bacteria; Pseudomonadati; Pseudomonadota; Gammaproteobacteria; Enterobacterales; Enterobacteriaceae
Description: partial 23S ribosomal RNA
Rfam family: Bacterial large subunit ribosomal RNA
Source: RNAcentral
CCGAACCGACUAAUGUUGAAAAAUUAGCGGAUGACCUGUGGCUGGGGGUGAAAGGCCAAUCAAACCGGGAGAUAGCUGGUUCUCCCCGAAAGCUAUUUAGGUAGCGCCUCGUGAAUUCAUCUCCGGGGGUAGAGCACUGUUUCGGCUAGGGGGCCAUCCCGGCUUACCAACCCGAUGCAAACUGCGAAUACCGGAGAAUGUUAUCACGGGAGACACACGGCGGGUGCUAACGUCCGUCGUGAAGAGGGAAACAACCCAGACCGCCAGCUAAGGUCCCAAAGUCAUGGUUAAGUGGGAAACGAUGUGGGAAGGCCCAGACAGCCAGGAUGUUGGCUUAGAAGCAGCCAUCAUUUAAAGAAAGCGUAAUAGCUCACUGGUCGAGUCGGCCUGCGCGGAAGAUGUAACGGGGCUAAACCAUGCACCGAAGCUGCGGCAGCGACACUGUGUGUUGU